RNAcentral lists this long non-coding RNA (1484 nucleotides) under Struthio camelus australis. RNAcentral describes it as "lncRNA (ENSSCUG00000008274.1)". The record is from RNAcentral. Lineage: Eukaryota; Metazoa; Chordata; Aves; Struthioniformes; Struthionidae.
GUUCAAAACCCAACCAAUUUAUUACUUUCUUUGUAGCACCUGAUGACAAAUGAUUCCAUGGACUAGCAGCAUCUCUCAUCAGACCCUGAUAGCAUUGCUUACUCCUUAUCAGCAUAAAAAGGAAGUGUUAGGAGCUGCUCUUAACCUUUUUGGAGUCCGAAGUCAAAAGACUGUAUCGGCUUCCCUCCAAUCCUCCGUUUGGAAGCUUGUUAGGAGAGUGAAUGCUGCUGUGAACAGGCAAAUUCUAAUGAGGAAGUGGCGGGAACUAGAGGGCUUGACACAUCCUUUACAUCCUGCAUUUACUCUGACCACAGUCCCUGCCUGUUCUCACAAGUGGAGCUCAACCCUGCUUCCCUUCCUGUUGAUUCCCAGUCAGCUACAUGGGAUCAGGAUUUUCAACACAAAAUCAUUCCUUUUUCAUUUCAGAGGAAAGGAAAUUACAGCAACUUUUGUGAAGAUAAAGGAAAAAACUUCAAAUUUUUGAGGAGGAAAAAUGCUUCCUGCCUGGCUCCAGUUGGACACCCCUGUUGAACAUUGCAAGCUGCAAUCAAACUGAGCUGUAGAGCUGGUUCAGAGUUUGCAGUGCGAGUCCCCGCUCAGCGAUGAGAAUGAGAUUUGAAUAUUCUGCGGUGGUGGUACAUCUGGGUUUAGGUCUAAUCACCUUCUGAAACAAUCCACUCUAACACAGUACAACUAUCAGAAGUAUCUACAUUACUGGUAAUAUUCACACAUACAAAAACACUCUCCUUCUCUAGAAAGCUGAAAGGGAGCUUGCUUUGUGUAAUUAUUUAAGGGCACAGUACAGACCAAGAGGUAACAUGUGGGACAACUUCUCAGUGGCCUUCAUUUAAGUUCAUUAGCUAACUCCUGUGCAAUGCCUAGCUAUGCAGCCUGUUGUGGGUACUGCAGAUCUGUGUAAUCUCUGGCUCGUAGCCAUGAACUAGCCCUUCCCUGCCUUUCUUAAAACAACACAUGCAAAUGCUAUCCAACCGUUUAUUUUAUUCAUGUAAAUUUUUGCCCAUGCAAAUUCCAACCACAGAGUUCCUUCAUAACACACGAAGAAGAGGUUGAGAUGUUCUUUUAAAUGGAAAAAAAACAACAGUAAUAGCUAAGUAGUGCCAUCUUUUUUUUUCCUUUCCCUCUUUAAUCAAACCAACGUUGCUCAGACUUCAGUGAGACUUCUGCAUCAGUGAGGCCGUCAGGAUUUGUCCCAACAGGUGUUAACUCUUCUCAGCCCUAAAGGGAGCUUUCUUUGUGUCCUGGUGUCCUCCUCUUAGAGGGACCAAUGGGGGCAGGAAACUGGGAGGUUAGGACAGGCUGUUGGAGAACCUGCGCUGGCAUCAGCUGUCCAUCACUGGCAGGGAGCUGCUAGUUGACAUUUGAGAGAAUGCGCUUUACAUGAGCAAGUGAUGAGUGAAUGGAAAUUAAAACAAAAGGAUUGAAAACAGAGCUGUAAUCAAUCUAGCCUGGUCUCAAGAAACCGG